AACGCACGAGACCUGCGGACCUGCGGAAGGAUCAUUACAUGGCGGAGGAGGUGGGCACCUAGUAAAACAAAACCCUAGGUGUGUUGCCUACCACGCUUUCUACCCCUGUCUAUUUGCACCUUUUGUCGUUCCCUCGGUGGGUCUUGAACCUGCCGGCGGCAACUUUCAAAAACCUUUUGUAGUUAGUAUCUAAUUCUUCUGAUCAAAUAUUCAAUCGUUACAACUUUUAACAAUGGAUCU
Molecule: unclassified non-coding RNA, 240 nt
Filed under: soil metagenome
Description: partial contains 5.8S ribosomal RNA, internal transcribed spacer 2, and large subunit ribosomal RNA
Source: RNAcentral